GAUGGACGCUGGCUACAGGCUUAACACAUGCAAGUCGAGGGGAAACGACGGGGAAGCUUGCUUCCCCGGGCGUCGACCGGCGCACGGGUGAGUAACGCGUAUCCAACCUGCCUCUGACUGAGGGAUAACCCGUCGAAAGUCGGCCUAAUACCUCAUGGUAUCGUCUGCGGGCAUCCAACGACGAUUAAAGAUUUCAUCGGUCAGGGAUGGGGAUGCGUCUGAUUAGCUUGUUGGCGGGGUAACGGCCCACCAAGGCUACGAUCAGUAGGGGUUCUGAGAGGAAGGUCCCCCACAUUGGAACUGAGACACGGUCCAAACUCCUACGAGAGGCAGCAGUGAGGAAUAUUGGUCAAUGGGCGAGAGCCUGAACCAGCCAAGUAGCGUGCAGGAAGACGGCCCUAUGGGUUGUAAACUGCUUUUAUGCGGGGAUAAAGUGAGGGACGUGUCCCUCAUUGCAGGUACCGCAUGAAUAAGGACCGGCUAAUUCCGUG
This 491-nucleotide ribosomal RNA is filed under the name uncultured bacterium. RNAcentral's name for it is "partial 16S ribosomal RNA". It matches the Rfam family "Bacterial small subunit ribosomal RNA", at positions 28 to 507 of the family's 1533-position model. The record is from RNAcentral.